UUAAAUGUUGCCAUGUUUUUAUUGAACACACCAUGUAAACAUUCACAGUGCAGGUGGAAAAAGUAUGUGAACCCUUAGAUUUAAUAACUGGUUGAACCUCCUUUGGCAGCAAUAACUUCAACCAAAUGUUUCCUGUAGUUGCAGAUCAGACGUGCACAACGGUCAGGAGUAAUUCUUGACCAUUCCUCUUUACAGAACUGUUUCAGUUCAGCAAUAUUCUUGGGAUGUCUGGUGUGAAUCGCUUUCUUGAGGUCAUGCCACAGCAUCUCAAUCGGGUUGAGGUCAGGACUCUGACUGGGCCACUUCAGAAGGCGUAUUUUCUUCUGUUUAAGCCAUUCUGUUGUUGAUUUACUCCUAUGCUUUGCGUCAUUGUCCUGUUGAUACAUCCAUCUUCUGUUGAGCUUCAGCUGGUAGACAGAUGGCCUUAAGUUCUCCUGCAAAAUGUCUUGAUAAACUUGGGAAUUCAUUUUUCCUUCGAUGAUGGCAAUCCGUCCAGGCCCGGAGGCAGCAAAGCAGCCUCAAAACCAUGAUGCUCCCACCACCAUACUUCACAGUUGGGAUGAGGUUUUGAUGUUGGUGUGCUUUGCCUUUUUUUUGCCACACAUAGUGUUGUGUGUUUCUUCCAAACAACUCAACUUUGGUUUCAUCUGGUCACAGAAUAUUUUGCCAGUACUGAUGUGGAACAUCCAGGUGCUCUUGUGCAAACUGUAAAUGUGCAGCAAUGUUUUGUUUGGACAGCAGUGGCUUCCUCUGUGGUAUCCUCCCAUGAAAUCCAUUCUUGUUUAGUGUUUUAUGUACUGUAGAUUCGCUAACAGGGGUUGCAUAAUCCCUUUUCAUGCAUGGUGUGUGAUUUUGAACAAUUUACAUGUUUCUACAUCUUCCUACGCAAAAGAUCUGGGCUUUUAG
Non-coding RNA from Pelobates cultripes (western spadefoot toad), 906 nucleotides. The record is from the annotation of a GenBank genome assembly. Lineage: Eukaryota; Metazoa; Chordata; Amphibia; Anura; Pelobatidae.